RNAcentral lists this long non-coding RNA (433 nucleotides) under Androctonus crassicauda. Lineage: Eukaryota; Metazoa; Arthropoda; Arachnida; Scorpiones; Buthidae. The record is from RNAcentral.
UUUGGAUUUGGGAAUUUUAUUUAAUCGAAAUUGACCUUCUGUCCUCGUCUUCUAAAUAUUAUUAUAAAAAAAUUGAAAAUGAGAAUGGGUAUUAUUUAUAGAAAUAAUUUAGAUUUAAUCCGAUUUAAUUUUAAAUAAAUUAUAUGUAAUACUUUCUUCUUCCGGUUAUAGAUUAUGGCAUUGUUAUUUGGGCUUCUGCUGCCCCCUCUUAUUUAAGACAGGUUAAUAAUGUUUUUGAAAAGAUUCGGCUUUCUGUCACCGUAUAAUCUUACAACGUUUAAUGGACGCGUUUUAUAUUUUGACUUAAAAUAUUUAGAACUUUAUUUGAAUAGAUGUUUCGACCAAUUAGAUUUAAUGUUAAAAGUUCCUUUUUUUAAAACGAGAUCUAUUUUUUUUCUCGAUAUUAGUUUUAAACGAUUAAAUGUUUCUAUAA